This 754-nucleotide long non-coding RNA is filed under the name Olea europaea subsp. europaea. The record is from RNAcentral. Lineage: Eukaryota; Viridiplantae; Streptophyta; Magnoliopsida; Lamiales; Oleaceae.
CACACUGAUUUUUGACACGUUGUAUGGCACUUGCAUUGUUUUCAAGUGUCAAUUGGAUGGGAAAACUGUUUGAAAUCUAAACUGUCCAACAGGGUAAUGUCACAUGGUAAAGUGUAAAUUAAAGUGUACACCAUCGUGUAUAUGUAGCAAGAUUCUUAUCGAUUGAACUUUCCUAUUUGUACGUUGAUGUUUGACACGUUUUUUGACACUUAUCUUGUUGUCAAGUGUCAGUUGGAUGGGAAAACUGUUUGAAAUUUAUACAAUCUAACAGGGUAAUAUCACGUGGCAAAGUGUAAACAAAAGUGUACACCAUAGUGUACAUGUAGCAAGGUUCUUACCGAUUGAACUUUGCUAUUUGUACACUAAUUUUAGACACGUUGUUUGGCAGUUGCAUUGUUGUCAAGUGUCAAUUGGAUGGGAAAACUGUCUGAAUUAAACAGUUCAAUAGUGUAAUGUCACGUUGUAUAGUGUAAAUUAAAGUGUACACCAUCGUGUACAUGUAGCAAGAUUCUUACCGAUUGAACUUUCCUAUUUGUACGCUAAUGUUUGACACUUUUUUGACACUUGCAUUGUUGUCAAGUGUCAGGUGGAUGGGAAAACUGUUUGAAAUUUAUACAAUCUAACAGGGUAAUGUCACGUGGUACGGUGUAAACAAAAGUGUACACCAUAGUGUACAUGUAGCAAGGUUCUUACCGAUUGAACUUUGCUAUUUGUACACUGAUUUCUAACGCGUUGUUUGACACUUGCAUUGUUG